AGUGAACGCUGGCGGUAGGCCUAACACAUGCAAGUCGAACGGCAGCACAGUAAGAGCUUGCUCUUACGGGUGGCGAGUGGCGGACGGGUGAGGAAUAUAUCGGAAUCUACUUUUUCGUGGGGGAUAACGUAGGGAAACUUACGCUAAUACCGCAUACGACCUACGGGUGAAAGCAGGGGAUCUUCGGACCUUGCGCGAUUGAAUGAGCCGAUGUCGGAUUAGCUGGUUGGCGGGGUAAAGGCCCACCAAGGCGACGAUCCGUAGCUGGUCUGAGAGGAUGGUCAGCCACACUGGAACUGAGACACGGUCCAGGCUCCUACGGGAGGCAGCAGUGGGGAAUAUUGGACAAUGGGCGCAAGCCUGAUCCAGCCAUACCGCGUGGGUGAAGAAGGCCUUCGGGUUGUAAAGCCCUUUUGUUGGGAAAGAAAAGCAGCAGGUUAAUACCCCGCUGUUCUGACGGUACCCAAAGAAUAAGCACCGGCUAACUUCGUG
RNAcentral lists this ribosomal RNA (492 nucleotides) under uncultured bacterium. Its description in RNAcentral is "partial 16S ribosomal RNA". It matches the Rfam family "Bacterial small subunit ribosomal RNA", at positions 29 to 507 of the family's 1533-position model. The record is from RNAcentral.